ACUCAAUUAAACCUAAAGGCGCAAUGAAAGUGAAGGUCCGCCUCGCGCGGACCGAGGGAGGAUGGGCCCGUCCACGGGCGGGCCCCGCACUCCCGGGGCGUCUCGUUCUCACAGCGAGAAGAGGCGCACCCAGAGCGUACACGCUGGGACCCGAAAGAUGGUGAACUAUGCCUGGUCAGGACGAAGUCAGGGGAAACCCUGAUGGAGGUCCGUAGCGAUUCUGACGUGCAAAUCGAUCGUCGGAACUGGGUAUAGGGGCGAAAGACUAAUCGAACCUUCUAGUAGCUGGUUCCUUCCGA
RNAcentral lists this ribosomal RNA (299 nucleotides) under Amphistomus speculifer. RNAcentral describes it as "partial 28S ribosomal RNA". It matches the Rfam family "Eukaryotic large subunit ribosomal RNA", at positions 698 to 964 of the family's 3401-position model. The record is from RNAcentral. Lineage: Eukaryota; Metazoa; Arthropoda; Insecta; Coleoptera; Scarabaeidae.